This 472-nucleotide ribosomal RNA is filed under the name uncultured bacterium. Its description in RNAcentral is "bacterial SSU rRNA". It matches the Rfam family "Bacterial small subunit ribosomal RNA", at positions 8 to 526 of the family's 1533-position model. The record is from RNAcentral.
AGAGUUUGAUCAUGGCUCAGAACGAACGCUGGCGGCAGGCCUAACACAUGCAAGUCGAACGCACCCUUCGGGGUGAGUGGCAGACGGGUGAGUAACACGUGGGAACGUGCCCAUCGGUUCGGAAUAACCCAGGGAAACUUGGGCUAAGACCGGAUACGACCGAGAGGUGAAAGAUUUAUCGCCGAUGGAUCGGCCCGCGUCUGAUUAGCUAGUUGGUGGGGUAACGGCCCACCGUGGCGACGAUCCGUAGCUGGUCUGAGAGGAUGAUCAGCCACACUGGGACUGAGACACGGCCCAGACUCCUACGGGAGGCAGCAGUGGGGAAUAUUGGUCAAUGGGCGCAAGCCUGAACCAGCCAUGCCGCGUGAGUGAAGAAGGCCUUAGGGUUGUAAAGCUCUUUCAGCGGGGACGAUAAUGACGGUACCCGCAGAAGAAGCCCCGGCUAACUUCGUGCCAGCAGCGGCGGUAAUAC